Molecule: ribosomal RNA, 253 nt
Filed under: uncultured bacterium
Lineage: Bacteria
Description: partial 16S ribosomal RNA
Rfam family: Bacterial small subunit ribosomal RNA
Source: RNAcentral
UACGUAGGGGGCAAGCGUUGUCCGGAAUUAUUGGGCGUAAAGCGCGCGCAGGCGGUUGAUUAAGUUUGGUGUUUAAGCCCGGGGCUCAACCCCGGUUCGCACUGAAAACUGAUCGACUUGAGUGUAGGAGAGGAAAGUGGAAUUCCACGUGUAGCGGUGAAAUGCGUAGAGAUGUGGAGGAACACCAGUGGCGAAGGCGACUUUCUGGCCUAUAACUGACGCUGAGGCGCGAAAGCGUGGGGAGCAAACAGGG